AAUAGGAUUAAAAAUCCAUAAAAUAUUCGUGGUAGCUUAGAAAAUUAUGAUUCUUUUUGCAAUAGCUUAGUAAUAUUGCUAAGGACCGCGGGGCAAAGUUUUAGAAUUUUUAGAGCUUAUUUGGGCAGUUUUUGCAAAAAUGGUCAAUUAUAGGGACUAAAUUGAAAUUUUACAUGUUGUGAUUGAUGAUUGAUUUGGUGGGCCUAGGAGGGGCUGUGUGAUGUAAUUGAGUUGUGGACAUAUGGAUUGUGAAUAUAGAAGUGUGUUUUGAGCCUUUUUGCAGGUUGGGUAGGUCCUAGGUAUAGGGGAGACUCUGCCGGAUUUUCGGCACGACUUAGGACGUAUUGGUCUUUUUCUUUGUUUGUAUUGAGUCAAAUUUAUUAAAUGAUUGUAAUAAAAUUGUCAGGUGAGCCGAGACAGCCUUCUUCCUCCGCCCAGCCGCCACAGUGAUUGUCGUCAAGUCUGCUACAGGAGGAUUUUAUUUUGGUUAACCUGCUUUUCUCCUUCGCAGGUUGUUUAUCAAUAUUUGUGUAAUUUUAUUUACUCCUAGAAUUUCCGCAUGUGUUAGAAGUAUUUAUUUGAUUAUGGUCUGUAAUAUUAUUAUCA
This is a long non-coding RNA of Hevea brasiliensis (rubber tree), 606 nucleotides long. RefSeq lists it as uncharacterized. The record is from RefSeq and is a predicted model, not a curated record. The transcript is spliced from 2 exons. Lineage: Eukaryota; Viridiplantae; Streptophyta; Magnoliopsida; Malpighiales; Euphorbiaceae.